GAUGAAGAACGCAGCGAAAUGCGAUACGUAAUGUGAAUUGCAGAAUUCAGUGAAUCAUCGAGUCUUUGAACGCACAUUGCGCCCCCUGGUAUUCCGGGGGGCAUGCCUGUCCGAGCGUCAUUGCCGCCCUCAAGCACGGCUUGUGUGUUGGGCCCCCGCCCCCCGGCUUCGGGGGGCGGGCCCGAAAGGCAGCGGCGGCACCGCGUCCGGUCCUCGAGCGUAUGGGGCUUCGUCACCCGCUCUGUAGGCCCGGCCGGCGACCGCCGGCGACCCCAAUCAAUCUUUCCAGGUUGACCUCGGAUCAGGUAGGGAUACCCGCUGAACUUAAGCAUAUCAAUAAGCGGAGGA
RNAcentral lists this unclassified non-coding RNA (348 nucleotides) under soil metagenome. RNAcentral describes it as "partial contains 5.8S ribosomal RNA, internal transcribed spacer 2, and large subunit ribosomal RNA". The stretch from base 1 to 120 matches the Rfam family "5.8S ribosomal RNA", at positions 35 to 154 of the family's 154-position model. The record is from RNAcentral.